This 253-nucleotide ribosomal RNA is filed under the name uncultured bacterium. RNAcentral's name for it is "partial 16S ribosomal RNA". It matches the Rfam family "Bacterial small subunit ribosomal RNA", at positions 524 to 776 of the family's 1533-position model. The record is from RNAcentral.
GACGAACCGAGCGAACGUUGUUCGGAAUCACUGGGCUUAAAGGGCGCGUAGGCGGGUGCUCAAGUCUGUGGUGAAAUCCUCCGGCUCAACCGGAGAACUGCCAUGGAUACUGGGUGCCUCGAGGGUGGUAGGGGUAUGCGGAACUAUCGGUGGAGCGGUGAAAUGCGUUGAUAUCGAUAGGAACUCCGGUGGCGAAGGCGGCAUACUGGACCACAUCUGACGCUGAGGCGCGAAAGCCAGGGGAGCAAACGGG